CACACACGUUUUUCCCUGCAAACACUGCAAAUCUGUGGCUCCUCACCACCCGCAAGCUCUCAGGAGACCCGCAGACUGCUCUGCCACCUUACAAGGCAACAGCCCUGAACAUACAAGUUUGGAAGGAGUAGAAGGCACCUGAAGACAGUUUAGGGAGCAAACUCAACUGUCCUAGUCAGCUUCAACUAUCAACUUGACAUCUGGAGCAUCUAAGAGAGUCUUAUCUAAGGAAUUGCCUAGAUCCGCUGUUCUCAACCUAUGGGUCAUGACCCUUUUGGGAGUCACAUAUCAAAUAAACUGCAUAUCAAAUACUUAUAUUAUGAUUCAUAACAGUAGGAAAAUUACAGUUAUAAAGUAGCAAUGAAGUAAUUUUAUGGCUGGGGUCACCACAGCAUGAGAAGCCAUAUUAAAGGGUUGCAGCAUUAGGAAGGCUAAGAACCACUGGUUUAGAUCAAUCAGAUCUGCCUGCAUUCAUGUUUGGGAGAGGUUAUUUUGACUGAUGGUUGAUGUGGAAUAGCCCACAUCAGGCAAAGUUUAUCCAUAGUUUCUUUUUUUCGUUCCUGCCCUGACUUCCAUUAAUGAUGAAUUUUGACCUGAACAUGUAAACCAAAUAAACUCUUUCCUCCCCAA
Long non-coding RNA from Mesocricetus auratus (golden hamster), 630 nucleotides. RefSeq lists it as uncharacterized. The record is from RefSeq and is a predicted model, not a curated record. The transcript is spliced from 2 exons. NCBI's taxonomy places the organism in Eukaryota, Metazoa, Chordata, Mammalia, Rodentia, Cricetidae.